GACAGAGGAUGCAAGCGUUAUCCGGAAUGAUUGGGCGUAAAGAGCUCGUAGGCGGUCUGUCGCGUCUGCUGUGAAAACCUAGGGCUUAACUCUGGGCGUGCAGUGGGUACGGGCAGGCUAGAGUGCGGUAGGGGAGACUGGAAUUCCUGGUGUAGCGGUGAAAUGCGCAGAUAUCAGGAGGACACCGGUGGCGAAGGCGGGUCUCUGGGCCGUAACUGACGCUGAGGAGCGAAAGCGUGGGGAGCGAACAGG
RNAcentral lists this ribosomal RNA (252 nucleotides) under uncultured bacterium. Its description in RNAcentral is "partial 16S ribosomal RNA". It matches the Rfam family "Bacterial small subunit ribosomal RNA", at positions 524 to 776 of the family's 1533-position model. The record is from RNAcentral.